AACGAACGCUGGCGGCAGGCCUAACACAUGCAAGUCGAUCGCUGUCUUCGGACAGAGAGGCGCACGGGUGAGUAACACGUGGGAACAUACCCUUGAGUGCGGAAUAACUAUUGGAAACGAUAGCUAAUACCGCAUACGCCCUACGGGGGAAAGAUUUAUCGCUCAAGGAUUGGCCCGCGUCCGAUUAGCUAGUUGGCGGGGUAGCGGCCCACCAAGGCGACGAUCGGUAGCUGGUUUGAGAGAAUGAUCAGCCACACUGGGACUGAGACACGGCCCAGACUCCUACGGGAGGCAGCAGUGGGGAAUAUUGGACAAUGGGCGCAAGCCUGAUCCAGCCAUGCCGCGUGAGUGAAGAAGGCCUUCGGGUUGUAAAGCUCUUUCAGACGUGACGAUGAUGACGGUAGCGUCAGAAGAAGCCCCGGCUAACUUCGUGCCAGCCGCCGCCGUAA
This 449-nucleotide ribosomal RNA is filed under the name uncultured bacterium. RNAcentral describes it as "partial 16S ribosomal RNA". It matches the Rfam family "Bacterial small subunit ribosomal RNA", at positions 29 to 523 of the family's 1533-position model. The record is from RNAcentral.